GCGGGCAUGACGGAACUGGUAGACGUACAGGACUUAAAAUCCUGAGUCCGCAAGGACGUGCCGGUUCGAUUCCGGCUGCCCGCACCA
RNAcentral lists this transfer RNA (87 nucleotides) under Alphaproteobacteria bacterium. RNAcentral describes it as "tRNA-Leu". It matches the Rfam family "tRNA". Rfam says of the family: Transfer RNA (tRNA) molecules are approximately 80 nucleotides in length. Their secondary structure includes four short double-helical elements and three loops (D, anti-codon, and T loops). The record is from RNAcentral. Lineage: Bacteria; Pseudomonadati; Pseudomonadota; Alphaproteobacteria.